RNAcentral lists this transfer RNA (74 nucleotides) under archaeon. RNAcentral describes it as "tRNA-Phe". It matches the Rfam family "tRNA". Rfam says of the family: Transfer RNA (tRNA) molecules are approximately 80 nucleotides in length. Their secondary structure includes four short double-helical elements and three loops (D, anti-codon, and T loops). Further hydrogen bonds mediate the characteristic L-shaped molecular structure. tRNAs have two regions of fundamental functional importance: the anti-codon, which is responsible for specific mRNA codon recognition, and the 3' end, to which the tRNAs corresponding amino acid is attached (by aminoacyl-tRNA synthetases). tRNAs cope with the degeneracy of the genetic code in two manners: having more than one tRNA (with a specific anti-codon) for a particular amino acid; and 'wobble' base-pairing, i.e. permitting non-standard base-pairing at the 3rd anti-codon position. RNAcentral also lists the same sequence under 2 other names. The record is from RNAcentral.
GCUGCGGUAACUCAGACUGGGAGAGUGCACGGCUGAAGACCGUGACGUCGCGUGUUCAAGUCACGCCCGCGGCA